RNAcentral lists this ribosomal RNA (763 nucleotides) under uncultured Streptococcus sp. RNAcentral describes it as "bacterial SSU rRNA". It matches the Rfam family "Bacterial small subunit ribosomal RNA", at positions 28 to 776 of the family's 1533-position model. The record is from RNAcentral. Lineage: Bacteria; Bacillati; Bacillota; Bacilli; Lactobacillales; Streptococcaceae.
GACGAACGCUGGCGGCGUGCCUAAUACAUGCAAGUAGAACGCUGAAGGAGGAGCUUGCUCUUCUGGAUGAGUUGCGAACGGGUGAGUAACGCGUAGGUAACCUGCCUGGUAGCGGGGGAUAACUAUUGGAAACGAUAGCUAAUACCGCAUAAGAGUAGAUGUUGCAUGACAUUUGCUUAAAAGGUGCAAUUGCAUCACUACCAGAUGGACCUGCGUUGUAUUAGCUAGUUGGUGGGGUAACGGCUCACCAAGGCGACGAUACAUAGCCGACCUGAGAGGGUGAUCGGCCACACUGGGACUGAGACACGGCCCAGACUCCUACGGGAGGCAGCAGUAGGGAAUCUUCGGCAAUGGACGGAAGUCUGACCGAGCAACGCCGCGUGAGUGAAGAAGGUUUUCGGAUCGUAAAGCUCUGUUGUAAGAGAAGAACGAGUGUGAGAGUGGAAAGUUCACACUGUGACGGUAUCUUACCAGAAAGGGACGGCUAACUACGUGCCAGCAGCCGCGGUAAUACGUAGGUCCCGAGCGUUGUCCGGAUUUAUUGGGCGUAAAGCGAGCGCAGGCGGUUAGAUAAGUCUGAAGUUAAAGGCUGUGGCUUAACCAUAGUACGCUUUGGAAACUGUUUAACUUGAGUGCAAGAGGGGAGAGUGGAAUUCCAUGUGUAGCGGUGAAAUGCGUAGAUAUAUGGAGGAACACCGGUGGCGAAAGCGGCUCUCUGGCUUGUAACUGACGCUGAGGCUCGAAAGCGUGGGGAGCAAACAGG